CGUCAUGUAGACUCUGUGAGGACUGGUUCCAGCUCUCAGUGAUUGGAUACGGCAGCUUCCGAGACCGACAGAGGCCACUUUGACCGCUGGGAAUACAGUACCGAGGGCACAGGAAAGCCACUGUCUGCUGCAGAGGAUCUGGAUGGGGUGGCAGCGUAUGGCAAUGGGAUGCAGAGAUGGAGGACAAGGGCUCCCAGAUCUAAUAUGAUUUAGCGCCAUUACUGCCAUGCCCGUCAGAUCUCUUCGAGGGAAAUGAAAAACAGCAGUCAUUUUAAGGUGCAGGCUAAAGGUUAGUUCAUGUAGAGGGAGUCUGG
Long non-coding RNA from Micropterus dolomieu (smallmouth bass), 314 nucleotides. RefSeq lists it as uncharacterized. The transcript has 3 exons. Lineage: Eukaryota; Metazoa; Chordata; Actinopteri; Centrarchiformes; Centrarchidae. The record is from RefSeq and is a predicted model, not a curated record.